GAAAUGAAAUUUUUUUUCUGGUGUCCAAGACACCUUCUUUGCCCCACUCCAGGGAACUUGCUGAGCUGGUUCCCCUGAGUUGCCCAUCAUGGACUUGCCCCUGCCUCUUGGUCCCCAAGCCCAGAGCUGCCUGUUUCCUGGUUAGGUACCUGCAUUUGGGGACUUAAGCUUAGGCCUGUCCUGACUACCUGCAGGACCCCUGGGACGCUACCCAAGCCUCGUCCCCUGUCCCUGUUCCCUGCCUCUGCAGAUGGCGUCACCAGCCACCCCAGCUCUGGAGCUAGAAUUAGGAGUCAUCCAACACACAGUCAUUCUCAACACCUCCCUCUCACCUCCCCACGGAAUUGGUCAUCAACUCCCAUGGGUUUCGCCCGAGAAGGAUCCCCAGGCACGCAGCUCAGCCCCCACUGGCAGCAUCAGCAUCCUGGGGCACAACCUGGUAUUCAUGGAUCCCCUCCACCCUCCAGUCCACACUGCACCCACCAACACCAGAGAGAUCUUUCUAGAAUAGACUGGAUCGCUCAGAAUCCUCCCUUCAGAUCACCUUCGGAUAAAAUGCUGACACUUCUAUGUGGCCUCCCUGUUCCACAUCCUUCCACAUUCCCAGUUCGGCCCACACCAAGCCAGUCCCUGCUGACCAGCUCCAGCCUUUCCCUUCCCCUACUCUUUGCUAAAAAUCCCCAUUUCCCUCUGGGCCUGCUCCCACCACCUCCUCCUUCUCUGAGAAGCCCUCCUUCCUUUCUCUUCCACUAAUAAAUUAUAACUCGGCCUCCCAGCAGUUUCCAUUGGCGUUUAUCUGCUCUGGUAAUCACUUCCCUAGACUUGGAGCUUCUGGAGGGCACUAGUUGGUCUUGUCCAUCUCUGGAGGCCCAGCCUUGUUAUGUUAGCCAGAAUAAUUUGCCCAGUUCAGGACUGAUUGAGUUGAAAUGACAGAAAAGACUGUGAAUGCCAGCUCUGUUCCCAGGCCCCUGUUCCUAUGGCCUCACCAUCCCCCAGUCCACCCCCAGCCUUCUCCCUUUCUACUUCUCCCCAAGUCUCCCUCCUACCUGCUGCCCUCAGCACAGUGGGGAGUCAGGCUGGGGUGCUAUCUGGGUCCGUGACAGCCACUAGAGGAGAGUGAGACCCUGGUCUUUCCUCAGGCCAGAGAGUUCACCAAGCAGGCCGUGGCCCUGGUUGGUGUCCUCCGCCGCGGUGGUGAGCAGCCUCGGAUUUUAAUGCGGGCCUUAGUGCUUCAGUGAAAGCCGGCAUGGGAAGUUGCUAAUAAUG
Long non-coding RNA from Suncus etruscus (white-toothed pygmy shrew), 1266 nucleotides. RefSeq lists it as uncharacterized. The transcript is spliced from 2 exons. The record is from RefSeq and is a predicted model, not a curated record. NCBI's taxonomy places the organism in Eukaryota, Metazoa, Chordata, Mammalia, Eulipotyphla, Soricidae.